GUGCCAGCAGCCGCGGUAAUACGGAGGGCGCAAGCGUUGUUCGGAAUCACUGGGCGUAAAGCGCGUGUAGGCGGCUUGGUAAGUCGGGUGUGAAAGCCCGGGGCCUAACCCCGGAACUGCACUCGAAACUGCCUCGCUAGAGUCUCGGAGAGGGUGGUGGAAUUCCCGGUGUAGAGGUGAAAUUCGUAGAUAUCGGGAGGAACACCAGCGGCGAAGGCGGCCACCUGGACGAUGACUGACGCUGAGACGCGAAAGCGUGGGGAGCAAACAGGAUUAGAUACCCCGGUAGUCC
Molecule: ribosomal RNA, 292 nt
Filed under: uncultured bacterium
Lineage: Bacteria
Description: partial 16S ribosomal RNA
Rfam family: Bacterial small subunit ribosomal RNA
Source: RNAcentral